This 433-nucleotide ribosomal RNA is filed under the name uncultured bacterium. RNAcentral's name for it is "partial 16S ribosomal RNA". It matches the Rfam family "Bacterial small subunit ribosomal RNA", at positions 29 to 507 of the family's 1533-position model. The record is from RNAcentral.
AACGAACGCUGGCGGCAGGCUUAACACAUGCAAGUCGAGCGGACCUUUCGGGGUCAGCGGCGGACGGGUGAGUAACGCGUGGGAACGUGCCUUCCGGUUCGGAAUAACCCUGGGAAACUAGGGCUAAUACCGGAUACGCCCUUAUGGGGAAAGGUUUACUGCCGGAGGAUCGGCCCGCGUCUGAUUAGCUAGUUGGUGGGGUAACGGCCUACCAAGGCGACGAUCAGUAGCUGGUCUGAGAGGAUGAUCAGCCACACUGGGACUGAGACACGGCCCAGACUCCUACGGGAGGCAGCAGUGGGGAAUAUUGGACAAUGGGCGGAAGCCUGAUCCAGCCAGGCCGCGUGAGUGAUGAAGGCCUUAGGGUUGUAAAGCUCUUUUAUCCGGGACGAUAAUGACGGUACCGGAGGAAUAAGCCCCGGCUAACUUCGUG